Molecule: transfer RNA, 69 nt
Filed under: Marmota monax (woodchuck)
Lineage: Eukaryota; Metazoa; Chordata; Mammalia; Rodentia; Sciuridae
Description: tRNA.Ala
Source: RNAcentral
GGUGUUAUGGCUCGGUGGUACAGUGCUUGCCUAGCAUGUAGGAGGCACUGGGUUCCAUCCUCAGCACCA